AUGAGGAGUUUGACCUCAGAACGGAAAGAGGCAACGAAGGUGUGACAACCCGAAAUUUAUCCCGUCAUUUUUAACCUCAUUAUCUGUUAACCUUUUUGGAUUAGGUUAAUUUAAUUGAGACUUUUUAUUAUGACUUCUUAAGGGUUGGAACACAUUAGAAACACCCUCAAUAUCCCUUUGAAGAAUAUUAGUUACAACCAAGUUGAAAUACGACCAUUUAAUCGGGUGCGACCAAAAGCCUCGUUUAACGUCAGUAUCGGGUAGAUUUNACAGACUCAAACCCUAUAUAAGGGUGAGUGGAUUCCAUUUGAGACUUUUCACUCUCUCUCUACACUCUCUCUCUACAACUUGCUUUCGAUCCAAAAAUGCUCAUUUCGAGCCCCAAACUAGUAAGUAAUCUACCCUAACUUGUUGUUAAGCUCAUUUAACAUGCAAAUUCGUGUUUAAGACAUCAAAUAGGGGCCAAUUAAUGUGUUUACAGCCCAAGAACACUCUUGGACCGUAAACACCCAUAAGUGGGGUUUUGAAGCCCCAAAACCCUUCCAAAUCACUCCUAGGGCUUAGAUAUGACUUGUAGACUUGCAUGUGCGAGCUUAGAACACCAAAACCUUGCAUUUUGGAGAGUAAACUUGAGUUUACGGCCCAAUAACACUCUUGUACCGUAAACCCCUCUCCAAGGGCCGUGAACACCUUUUAAGGUGUUAGAAUUUCCCUCAAACACCUCCUAAGGCUUAGGAAAAUGUCUAGAAUCAACCACAAACGAAGUAGGGGAUUUAAACUUCAAUUAAACCAUGGACAUAGGAUUUUACGGCCAUAAACCCCUCAAGGAUUGGUCCAUGGGCCGUAAACUCCCAAAAAGUGGCCAAAUGAUGCCCUAACACCCCCAUUUGACUUGGAUUAAUGCUUAGAACUUUAUACUCUAUCAUUUAAGGCCUAAAUUCAUGAAGGAAAUGACCAAGUGAGAGUUUAUGGCCGUAAACUCCUUGUUUUGGGCCGUAAACUCCUUAAAUGGUCCAUUUGGAGCCUUAAACCCCUUUAUAAGCCUUAUAUUUGGACCUAGCCUAAUUCUAAGAGUGAGAUAAGACCUUAAAUCAUCCAAGAGCACACCACCCAUGAGUUUACGACCGUAAAAUCAUGGGGAUAUGGUCUUAGGGCCGUAAACUCUAUAAAUAGUUUACUCUUGAAGAGUAAACUCCUUAUCUAGGCCAUACACUCCCUUAUUUGCAACCCAAUAGCCUCCUAGCACUUUACCAAAGUGUUUUCCGCACAUUAGGAAUGCGUAUACGUGUUUAAUUAGUAUUAUAAUUACUAACUGUAUGUAAAAAUAUGUCAUCAUAUGUUAAUAGGUCACUAAGUGUGUUCAAGUCUUAAAUUGACACCGAGCACCCAACCGGCACCUCCAUCCGAUCCACUUUCAGCAGGUGAGUUCAUACCCUUGAAUUAACCUUUUAAAUGUUUUUACAUGCNGUUUUGCCAAGUAUAAUACUAUAGAUGGUUUUCCAAAACGUCUUUACGUGUUUAAAUCUUUUCUUAAAUUGUCUCUCGUGCUGUAUGUUUUACUUCUAAACCAGUUACAGCAGUGUUUUAAACAAUGCUUUUUCUUUACUUAUAUUGUGUUAUCAAAUUAUAUUCAAAACGUGUUUAUGAACGAUUUUCAAAGCAUGUUUUACAUAACGAUAUUAAGUCGUAAAUUCUUAUUUUUUUAAAGGUUUUAUCAAAGUUUUCGUCUAUACUUCUAGGCUUCUACUUUGUUAAAUGCAUGCAUGUACUUGUAUAGUUAUAUAAAUAAUGUUUAAAAGGAAGGUUAGUUCGCCCUAUUUCCUUUUCCUCAUUGGGAUGUGGUCUGGUGGGUAUCGGAUAUCCGUACGAAGGUCGUUUAAACAUUAAUUAUAUAUCAGGUAUACACGUAUAGACAUAAGGGUUUACAUUGACCAGUUCAUUUCCCUUGGGUAGCAAGGGCAUCCUUCCAUUCAUCAUUCAUAGAUCAGAGACACUAGUAACUAUUAUAGGAAUAGUUAGGAGGCUCUAUUCACUCUUUCUAGUAUGAGAAUUCCAAAGGAGUCAGUUCAUUCGUGAGUCCAUAUCAUUUCUCCAACGCCUCUAAUAGAAUUCAGAAUACGAGAUGCAUCUUCAGGACACGGAUCUCCCCGUCGUCAAGUUGGUAACCUGAGUCUCCUGGAGGGAGCGGGCAUUGUGUGUAUAUAUCUAUACGGGACUGACACUCCCGCACCCUGACUGCUAGCUACAGUCUACGGCCUACCAAGCCAACGGGUGACAAAUGUCAUAUUUAUUCCGAUGCUUGCGGGGCGUCAAGUACUCUAGUGUCAAUCAGUAUGGUUACAAGUAUCUCCAUGCUUACCUUAUAAUUCAUGGCCUUAGGGUAACGAGAAUUAACACUGUAUUCUUGAAACAACACUCUUAGGAUUACCCUUUGUUUUAGACCUUGCUAGCUGUAUCGUUCAUUUGAUACUGUAUGGGGUGUGUGUUUCUUUGUUUUAGACUUUCCUAGCCGUAUCGUUCAUUUGAUACUGUCUAGGGUCUGUGUUUCUUUGUUUUAGACCUUGCUAGCUGUAUCGUUCAUUUGAUACUAUCCGGGGUUUGUGUUUCUCUGUUUUAGACCUUGCUAGCUGUAUCGUUCAUUUAAUAUUUUCGGGGUCUAUGUUUCUUUUUUUAGACCUUGCUAGCCGCAUCGUACAUUUGAUACCAUCUGGGGUCUGUGUUUCCUUUUGCUAGACUGAGCCAGGCGUAUCAUUCGUUCGAUACUCUCCCGGAGUCUAUGAUUUCUUUUGCCUUAGUUAGCAGUAUUUUCUGCUGAGGCAUAUGUUAUUUUCCCCUAUUAUUUUUCUAGUGAUAUUCUCCUACUUUGUUUAAAGUCAAAUACCGUAUUUUGGUAAUGAUAGUAUUUCAGGGAAAAUUCUCUUUAAAACAUAACAUUGUCGAGUCUUGGUAGAAGACUGCUUUUAAUUAGAAAAUAUAGGAUUUUCUGGAAAGGACGCUAAUACACCGUAGAACCUAAACUACUACUUUUUAUAAAGUUAUUUUGAAUAAAAUGCUUACUUACACAAAUGACACUCUACUUCCUUUUCCUCGUUGGGAUGUGGAUAUAGAGUAGUAUCACAUAUUCGAAGGCCUAUCGGAUCUAAGCUAUAUAUGAUUUGUGUACCCUAUGUAAUUGUAGCAGGACUUGAUAUGGAUCACCCAGUGAAAUGUUAAUAAUCUCUUAGGAUUCUUUAGACAUUUCCAUUCUCGCACGAACCCUGUAGAAAACCCUAUCCACUUCAGUGUUCGACCGAAGAGUUGAUUCAGACUCAGAAGAGGUUCAUUGAGAAGAUUUCCCGUUCAGAAAUAAAUGAACCAAGACGAGACUACUGAAACCACCAAGUGCCUAUACCUCUUAGGGACAUCGGUGGGAAAUUCGCCUGAACUUCCGAGAUUUCUAUUCAUCCGUCAUGAAGUGAUGACACCUAGAGUUAGAAUCGUGAGUAAGACAGAGUAGAGAUUCAGUACGUCUACAAGAGAAGAGAACCCUAGGUAACUACCCGAAGAAAAGCAAUGCCGGUCCCAGUCAAGGAUAUGAGGUAGACAAAGGGAGCCAGUACAUGGAACCCGAGAAGUGCCUUUUUCCGCGUUAUUGUCGCGCUAAUACACCCAUAAAAUAAUAAAAUAUAGUGAGUUGGUGAUUACACUACUCACGCUAUGUGUUAGGUAAAUCGCCUUUUCCCGUCGCAAGUAAUACGAUUAGAGCGGAUCCUAACACCUCGAUUGAGAGUGUUUAUCCAUAAGUCUUCAGGAGCCUUUCUUUCCACAAUCUUCGUUCCGAACUGUCCUCAGAUCUUUCCAAGCCGGAGAGUGAACCUUUCCAUCAUAAAGAUGACUUAACGACUCCCAUCUUAUGGCCUUCCGAUAUUCUUACUCCUACCUUGAUACCCAGACUGCAUCAUAGGGAUGUAGGUCGACACUCAGACAACCAAUAUCCGAGGCGCGGGAAAAAUUUAUGCCUAAUAUAGUAAGGAUAGAUACGUAUAGAGUUAAACAUCAUUUCUCAUCAACUUGUGUUCCUUCCGUGUAGGAAAAACCAUGCCUUCGAAGAAGCGAAACCAAUCCACUGGCAAGAAACCGACUCUCCUAUUCGAUGAAGCUACGUUCCAAGCUGCAGUCUCGGCAGCCGUAACAGCUGUCAUGGCUCAACUAAAUGCUAACAACGCCAAUGUUAGCAAGAGCCCUAUCGGGAUUCCCGAUCCUAGUAAUGGACAGCAGCAACCAACCUCUGUGUACCUAGCCACCCAAGAACCUCAACCAAAUCCACUGAAGAGAAAGAUCAUACCUAGGAGACCCUACUGAGGAAACCUUCCCCGUUGCGGCAAAUGCAGCUACCAUCAUCAUGGUAUAUGCCGGGAACUCAGUUGUACUAGGUGCAACAUGAAGGGGCAUACCACUCACGUCUGCAGAAACCCGAUUGAGUUCAUUACAUCAACCACCAAUGUGGCGGCCAGUCCAAUAUGCCCUCUAUGUGGCAAGAUUGGACACCCCAAGAAGGACUGCCCAACUGAAGGAGACGACAAUGGCGCAGGAGGAGUCUAACUCUAAAUGCAUAGGGAGAAGCAUCAAGGAACCCGGUAGAUUUUGGUACAUCUCUCAAUCUCAGAUAUCUAAGCAAAGACAUUAAAAGACUAAUUCUAAAAUGUAAUUACUCCCCCGUUAAGGCGAAAGUCGCAGCACUGUUAUAAAAUUUAAAAUUUCAUAACAGGUAAAACUAUAAGUGCCCGAUAUAUACAUUAAAGCCAUGUAUAAUUAAGAUGGAUAGACCUAGAGUGAGUGAUGCUGCCUCAUUUCCUGUUCCUCGGUUGGUUGUGGAUUUAGGGCGGAGUCGCUCAGUCAACAAUCCUCCCCACCUUAAUUAUACAUGACUAGUAUAUGUCAGGCGAUUAUAGAAAGGCCUCAUGAGAAUCCAUUCAUGAAAGGUACCCUAUUCAGAAACACUCAGGACCCUCUAUAGUUCCGUGUCGACUCUAUCAGUCCAAGUAUCCGCGAUAGUGAUACACGAGAUGAAACCUGAGACGCCAAGAACUUGUGCCCGUUCAGCACAUGACCCUAUCGACCCUCAUUCUAUAUCAUUUCGAUGUUUUCCAACUUCGACGCCUCUAUCAAUCAUGGUUCGACUUAGUGCAACCAUGUGUAAAUCCCUAGUGCUGUGUAAAAAGAACUUUCACCGUAGCCAUUUCGGCAAAUAAAGGUUCUUCCGAACCUAAAUAUAAUAAAAACUAAUGAGAUCCGUUAGUCAUCCCUCUUAUUGCAAACCUUCCGAAGUACCCAGGAGAAGGGUACCGCGCGCUGUUAACCAACCCCUCCAUAGACAGAUAGAAACUGAAGCAUACUCCGUAGAUCCCCCAGAAAGCCCCUUCGCACCUCACAAUCAGGUUCGUGAAUCAAGAGGAUAGAACUCAUGGGACGUAUUACCAUAACUGAGUAUAUGCAUAAGGGUGGUAUAUAAUUGAGAUCAAAAAGAUUUAAGAUGUGUGCUUCCUCCCUACUCCAUGUUCCUCUUUGGGUUGUGGGUCUGGGGUGGAGUCGCACAACUGAACAUCCUGCCGACCUCAAUUAUAUACGGCUUUCAUACACAAAGUAUUAGUGGUUAAGCCAAGUAUGAGCUCUACCACGAACCUCAUAGUAGAAACUCUUCAUCCUAUCCCUUAGAAUAGGAACUAGAGUCAAGAGAACCACUGCGGGUUGAGCUACUAUAACGACCACAAAUCCGAAAUUUGUUUUCAUCCCGGUUUAGCCAACAUAGUAGAUAACACCCUCAAUUGGUAAGGAUAUCUGAGUCGUAAGAGUCAAGUACAUUGACUACGACCAUCCACUCACGCUUAAUCCCCCGAAUUAAGCAUCUCAGCGGAUAUCCCGGAAAUCUGGAAGCUGCGAUAGGUUAAACUUUGAGAAGAAUGGAUGAGGAGACUAGAAGUUCCAAGUAACGAAACCCUAUACCUCUAGACUUAACCUAAAUCAAGAAAACUCAGAACCCCCAGAAGAGUAGUUGCAGAAGAUUCUCGCACUACUCAGGCACUUCGUCCACCCUAUUACCGAUGAAUAAUGCAUAGGACACUCCGCCUCCUUACGUGGAAGAAGUCACCGUCGCCCUGUAGACGAUAGACUGCAUUCUCCGAAGUGAAUACUAGAAUGCUAAGAACCACAGAAUAACCUCUAUAGCCAAGAAUACUUGAAUAAAGUGCGAAAGUAGGUUGCGUUAAGCCUUAUAACCCAGAUCCCGAAGAGAUUAUAGACUUGACGCCAGUCUAGGUGUUAGUCGAUGGGUUAUACAAGAGCACGCGCUUUCUGCAACUGGAAUAAACCAACACCUUAGAAAAUAGGGCAUGUCUUAGAGAUUAUUAGGACUACUAGGUGUUCCAAGAAUACGAUCUCACGCAGAGAUAGUAGAAUUACCUCCCGAGAUAGUCCAACACUUCAGAAGAAUUCUCUAAGGAUUGAGUUAGCCCUGAGCAGAGCUUGUUGUUUAUGAAACAGCAAAGCAUGUAAGAGCAUGAUUCUUUCCCGUUAGGAAUCAUAUUGUGAAAGUGUCAACUAGAUGAUGAUGAAAAGUUUAAAAACCUUCUAAACAAUCGUCUGGUCGAAACCCUAUCUCACCGACCCUGACAGUUUCCGUUAGAAACAUCUCAAGAAUCAGAAGUGCAGGUUCAUUUUGCACAGGAUUGAGAUAGUCACCUUGCAGCAAACAAAUACCCGUAGACACCCAAUUCAACCAAUGAUCCAGAAAACCUCUGAAAGCCAAUCGACAGGAAACACGAAUCCAAGGAUAACCCGAGCUUUCUAAGAACCAACCUGAAGGACUACACUCCCAGUAUGAGAGAACGUUUGGAACUUCAGAAUGGCGAUCACGCCAGUGAUGAUCUCACCAUAGAAGUACACUAUGUUCUAAGUACCAAAAAGCUCUACCCUUCCGAGAGCUUAGGACCAUCCGAGAUUCUUUACAAAGAUUGGCCCAACCCUCGUCAGACCACGACUACUUUCGGAAAAUUCCAUAAGUUUCGCCCCAAGUCAAUCCACUCCUUAGGCUUGAAAAGUGUUUGCCCGACGUCACUCUUUAUAUCCCACUCAUCUUGAUAGAAACCACUGGGAACCCUAACUUCGCAGGCCCACUUGUAGGAAUCGCUAACAGAAUGAAACAAAAUCCGCAUCCCGCAAGUGAAGAUUUGUUAGAACGCCAAGCAAAGACCAGAGUUCACUUGGGAGUGCGAGGACCAACCAAAUAGUAAGUACCCUCAUACCUCUACCCGAUUGUUCAUGCCUAUUUCCUUGCCUAAACCUGAAUUUCGGGACGAAAUUCCCUCUAACGGGGGGAUGAUGUGACAACCCGAAAUUUAUCCCGUAAUUUUUAACCUCGUUAUCCGUUAACCUUUUAGAUUAGGUUAAUUUAAUUGGGACUUUUUAUUAUGACUUCUUAAGGGUUGGAACACAUUAGAAACACCCUCAAUAUCCCUUUGAAAAAUAUUAGUUACAACCAAGUUGAAAUACGACCAUUUAAUUGGGUGCGACCAAAAGCCCCGUUUAACGUCAGUAUUAGGUAGAUUUCCACCGAGCCACAGACUCAAACCCUAUAUAAGGGUGAGUGGAGUCCAU
Molecule: long non-coding RNA, 7632 nt
Filed under: Lactuca sativa (garden lettuce)
Lineage: Eukaryota; Viridiplantae; Streptophyta; Magnoliopsida; Asterales; Asteraceae
Description: long non-coding RNA (LSAT_LNC008825)
Source: RNAcentral